GUGGGGAAUCUUCCGCAAUGGACGAAAGUCUGACGGAGCAACGCCGCGUGAGUGAUGAAGGUCUUCGGAUUGUAAAGCUCUGUUAAUCGGGACGAAAGAGCCUAGUGUGAAUAAUGCUAGGAAGUGACGGUACCGGAAUAGAAAGCCACGGCUAACUACGUGCCAGCAGCCGCGGUAAUACGUAGGUGGCAAGCGUUGUCAGGAAUUAUUGGGCGUAAAGCGCGCGCAGGCGGAUCUGCCAGUCUGUCUUAAAAGUUCGGGGCUUAACCCCGUGAUGGGAUGGAAACUACAGAUCUAGAGUAUCGGAGAGGAAAGUGGAAUUCCUGGUGUAGCGGUGAAAUGCGUAGAUAUUAGGAAGAACACCAGUGGCGAAGGCGACUUUCUGGACGAAAACUGACGCUGAGGCGCGAAAGCCAGGGGAGCGAACGGGAUUAGAAACCCCAGUAGUCC
This 450-nucleotide ribosomal RNA is filed under the name uncultured bacterium. RNAcentral describes it as "partial 16S ribosomal RNA". It matches the Rfam family "Bacterial small subunit ribosomal RNA", at positions 354 to 796 of the family's 1533-position model. The record is from RNAcentral.